Poecilia reticulata (guppy) is the source of this 1832-nucleotide non-coding RNA. Lineage: Eukaryota; Metazoa; Chordata; Actinopteri; Cyprinodontiformes; Poeciliidae. The record is from RefSeq and is a predicted model, not a curated record.
AGUUUGGACCCUGAAGUUCCCACUAAUCCAGCUGAUCCCUGAAAGUCUUGGAGGCGCUCGUGGCUGUGGUGGCUAAGCAGGAGUGUGACCUCAGCAGCCGUAGUCGUGGGAAUGGAAGCUGGGUGUGUCUGGGCUGCUGCCUCCUGCACACCUGCAGGAGAUUCCCUCAUUUGGCAGAGACACUAAAAGCUACAGAAUGUCUUCUCUUCGCCUGAUGAUUCCUGGUGACUGAUCACUUAGAGGUUCCACCUCCAUCUGCCCUCAGAGAAUCUCCUUGCACUAUCUGUCACGAACGCUGACUGCAGUUUCUCGCUCUCUGUCACGGCUUGCCCGCCCGCUCCCCAACACUCCACGCCCACCUGCUAAAUGCUUCCAGCUUCUGGCUCAUAUAACCUGGAUUCCUUCAGCACACUCACCUUCAGGAUCUACAGACUCCUCCAAACAAUCUCCUCUGACAAAGUUAGCUUCAUCCCCCCUGCCAUGCAUURCCAUCCACCUGUAUGACUGGAUCUAACUUCAUCUCACUCUUAAAGUUGCCCUGGAUCCAAUUCAUUUCCCAAUCAAGUUAGGACAAAGUCAGGCUAGAUAUACCAGCAGCUACCUCCAUAAAGUGACUUCUAUGACCUUAGCAUCAGCUUUAGCUAAGAAAAAGCAUGAUGAGAACCACAUGUCUGGAAACCCAGACAGGUUUACUGAGAGUUGACAACCAGAUGUGGACCACUCUGAGGAGUUUUGCUUCUGAUCUGGCAUUUUCCUAGUUAUUGUUGGUAAAACUGACAAACCCAAAACCCACAAAUUACACACCACAGAAGUUAUGAACCUAUUAAGUAAAUAAGAGCAUCGGCACUGCCUCCACAGUGCUGUGCUGCACCUCCGCACCACCAUCUGGUAAAUUACCGAGUCUAUUUUUACUGGAUGCCAAAACAAGUGCAGAGCCCAUCUAAAACAAUCACACCGCACUAAUAGGAAAAUGAACAAGCAUUUUUAAAUGAUUUCCAAAAGACAGACGACAUCUUCUCAAAAUCUUAGUUAUAUUAGUAAAUAUGAGCAUAUAUUUAAACAUACAUGCUUUUGAAAUUGGUCAUUGGAGUAGAGUGCAGCCACAKGCAGAGUUUGCAAACUUUAAGUUCUCUCGUUUUUCUCACAUAUAAUUUUGCCUGAAAUUACUGUCAGGUAUUAUAAUUCAUAAUUGGACAAUAAAAAAUWAAUUGAUGUGCUUAGAUGCUAAAAUCAAAAUGCAACAUUUGUUUUUAUUAAUUUUCUUAGUUUUUACAAUGAUAUCACAGUAAUUAGUCAAACCAAUAAUAAUCAUAGCCUUGCUAGUAAAUGUCCACACUUGUUAGCAAGGCUGAAGACCUUGGUCACAUAAUGGACAAAGUAUUUUAAAUAUAAUGGAAAAAGUAUCUUAAAAGACAUUUAAAUGUCUUUUGAAGACAAAUGACAGAGGAAGUUAAGGCACAAAGAUAAGUAUUGAAAAGAGGRAGUAAGACAGGAAGAGGGGAGUUAAGAUGACAGAAAAGAAACAAAUAUUGGAGAGAAGCACCAGCGGAGCAUGAGAUGAGAUGAAGAGUGAAAACUUGGCUGAGAAGUGAGACAGACUSUUUAGAGAGCUAAAGAAAUAACUGAACACGAAGUAAAGCUGUGUGAUAUGGUCAGCAAAUUUACAGACCAAAACAACAUGAUGACUUCCUCACAAAACUCAUCUUAAAGUGACAGACAACUCURGGGAUAAAUCUGUCCUCUUAUUUCCUUGAGCUGUUUAAUAAAGACGUGUUGCUAUGAGUGGGGCCUCCUGUAAGAAAGUGAAGGAUGUCACUUUUCAAAUAAAUAAA